CCCCUCUCAGGAUCGCACCUGGAGAGUUUUCAGUACUCUACCAGUAUUGAUUACAGGAGGGGGAGUCAAGCAGAGGCACACCCAUUCCAUUUCUAGCUUGGGCUGCGGCUAGUGAGUGGAAGGGAAUCUGCUACUAGG
Small nucleolar RNA from Ornithorhynchus anatinus (platypus), 138 nucleotides. The record is from RefSeq and is a predicted model, not a curated record. Lineage: Eukaryota; Metazoa; Chordata; Mammalia; Monotremata; Ornithorhynchidae.